Molecule: ribosomal RNA, 304 nt
Filed under: Streptococcus pneumoniae
Lineage: Bacteria; Bacillati; Bacillota; Bacilli; Lactobacillales; Streptococcaceae
Description: partial 16S ribosomal RNA
Rfam family: Bacterial small subunit ribosomal RNA
Source: RNAcentral
AUAAUGGAGAGUUUGAUCCUGGCUCAGGACGAACGCUGGCGGCGUGCCUAAUACAUGCAAGUCGAGCGGAACCAUUGGAGCUUGCUCCUUUGGUUUAGCGGCGGACGGGUGAGUAACACGUGGGCAACCUGCCCUGCAGAUCGGGAUAACUCCGGGAAACCGGUGCUAAUACCGAAUAGUUUGCGGCCUCUCAUGAGGCUGUACGGAAAGACGGUUUCGGCUGUCACUGCAGGAUGGGCCCGCGGCGCAUUAGCUAGUUGGUGAGGUAACGGCUCACCAAGGCCACGAUGCGUAGCCGACCUGA